UGCCGGUUCGAGUUCCGUCAAUGCCAAUAGGGACUCUGCUCUGUUGGGCCCUUGAGCAAGGCCCUUAACCUGCAAUUGCUGAGCACUUUGAGUAGCGAGAAAAGUGCAAUAUAAAUGCAAUGAAUUAUUAUAAUUAAUAUAACCUGAAUGGUAGUCUAGUGUUUGAAUGAAUGCAUAUUGUUGUAUAGGUUCUGAUACAGAGAUAAGGUGCUAAAAUAAUAAGUAAUACUUACAGCGUACGGUCCUGUAGUGUUUUCGCCUACGUUUUAUAUCUUUUUCAGUGAUAUUUCCAUGAACUUUGAUAUGCAAGGGGUGAUCAAAACCUUGUGGAUUUGUUCUGUAACUCGCCGCAAGCUCCCAGACUCUCUCUAAAGCAAAGUGUCACAGAGUGGUAGAACUUACUGCAAAAUAUCUCAUGACUCAUAUUGACAUAAAAAAAAAUCUCAUGAAUCGGCAGUUCAUUUACAAGCAGUCUAAAGGCCAUGACACAUUUGAUGACUUUUCUAGUAUUAGCUUUCAUUUAUUUAAUCUUAAUAAGUUGGAGACACUCGGUGGCCCGCUCACACAGUCUCAUAAUGUGACAUACCCGUGACUAACUCCAGUUAAUCUGCGACUCGCUCCUCAGACACAUUUGAUUUUGUCUUUAGUCAUAGGGGUGGCUCUGCGUGUGUGAGAGGAGACAAACCAGUGAGUGCUCAUCCGUUAGUGUCCUGCAUAGAAUGCAGUGACAAGGAAUAACAAACACCGGGGUUUUGGACCUCAGAAAAAGAAGAGAAGCCUCACAACCUAAACUUCUUUGGGAUGUGGGAAAAAAGAACUGGAGCACCUGAGGGAAAACCUCAAUAAAAUCUUUUUUUUUAAAUAAAAUUAAACAGUUCAGUGCAGAGCCAAAUUGACUGACUUGAGAUCAACAGGUCAUUCAUGAGUUCCUCUUUGUAGAGGAGUCACCUGUCGGGGAUUGGUGGGCAUUGCGCAUUCAGUCCUUCCCUUUUGUGUGUGGAUCUGUUGCCACUCAAUGCUGGUUAUGUAGUAAAAGUCACACCAGGAGGUAAAAGUAGGGGGCGCUCUAAGAGUGGUGUUGCUUCAGCACUGCAUUAGUUCCCUUGUGCAGUGGCCACGAUUUAGAGCUCCUGAAAUCUGUUGAACUUCUGAUUUGUUUGUUUGUUUUGUUUGUAAUUUUAAAUCUUGACCUGUGUGCUCCAUUCCUUGUUCUGCUUUUCCUUUAAUGACAAUCGGCUUGUUUUUCUGGAUUCUCUUUGUUUCUUUGCUCUUUAUGGAAUUAUUACUGAAUCUUACUGCCUGCUAAUGAAUACCCUUCUGCCUGCUUAUGACCAGGCUUAUUGGAAAAACAAAAAUGAUUUGUUUAUUAAAAACCUUUAAAGUUAA
Long non-coding RNA from Erpetoichthys calabaricus (reedfish), 1386 nucleotides. RefSeq lists it as uncharacterized. The record is from RefSeq and is a predicted model, not a curated record. The transcript is spliced from 2 exons. NCBI's taxonomy places the organism in Eukaryota, Metazoa, Chordata, Cladistia, Polypteriformes, Polypteridae.